GGUAACGGCCUACCAAGGCUACGAUCAGUAGGGGUUCUGAGAGGAUUAACCCCCACACUGGUACUGAGACACGGACCAGACUCCUACGGGAGGCAGCAGUGAGGAAUAUUGGUCAAUGGGCGGAAGCCUGAACCAGCCAUCCCGCGUGAAGGAAGACAGCCUUACGGGUUGUAAACUUCUUUUCUGUCAGAAGAAUAAGCUUGUCGAGACGAGUGAUGCCGGUAUGACAGGAAUAAGCAUCGGCUAACUCCGUGCCAGCAGCCGCGGUAAUACGGAGGAUGCAAGCGUUAUCCGGAUUUAUUGGGUUUAAAGGGUGCGCAGGUUGUUUGAUAAGUCAGUGGUGAAAGUCUGUCGCUUAACGGUAGGAUUGCCAUUGAUACUGUUGGACUUGAAUAUGGAUGAGGUAGGCGGAAUGUGUAGUGUAGCGGUGAAAUGCAUAGAUAUUACACAGAACACCGAUUGCGAAGGCAGCUUACUAAUCCAUCAUUGACGCUGAGGCACGAAAGCGUGGGGAUCAAACAGGAUUAGAUACCCUGGUAGUCCACGCCGUAAACGAUGAUCACUCGCUGUUUGCGAUAUACAGUAAGCGGCUAAGCGAAAGCGUUA
Molecule: ribosomal RNA, 606 nt
Filed under: uncultured bacterium
Lineage: Bacteria
Description: bacterial SSU rRNA
Rfam family: Bacterial small subunit ribosomal RNA
Source: RNAcentral